ACAAUAGUGAUUGAAGAGAGACAGAGAGAGACUAGGCUGUGGAGUCGGGAGAGAGUAGCGGUCUUUCUCUUCUUCGCAGUUCACAGCACAAACCUUCCCAGCCAGCGGACAAACUUCACCGAAGCCGUGAGAGUGAGAGGAACAAGAGGUAUCCCAUCUGGGCUCUUUCUUUAGGAGUAAUUCAGAAACCUUUGAAGCAAUGCACGUAAAUCACACAGUUCCAUGUCUUUUUUGCUCUGCAAAUCUCUUCAUUUUUUGAUUUUUUUUCUUGAAACAUUCUGCAUUAAUUAUGUUUGUUGAGCUAUCCCAUUUCGGAAUUUUCUGAAAAAAUACAAAAUGUUUUCCCAUUAAUUAAGGUACCCACGUGGACUAAUUGAUAAUUUGAUACUCGCAUCAUUUUACACGGUAGUACUACUACAAGAGCCACAAUGGAAUGCACCGAAGCAAAAUUCAAUGUAUGAAACUUUGUAUCUUUAUUACUUUAAUGUAUGCAUGUAUCUCUUGUAAGUCCACUGAUUUGCUUCUUCUUCCUUUUUUUUUUUUUUUUUUUUAAUUUCUUGUGGGCUUUUAUCAAGUGCUGAUUAUUUUUUACAGGUGAUAACUGAGAUGUUCGGGGUGAAGAGAAGUCAGUAGAGAGCUAAGUUAACGGCGGUUUUCAGUGACUUUCAAGUAUGCUUCUUGGGGUUUCAAUGUCUUUUUUUUUUCUUGGUGGUUCUCAAUUGAUUUCUUACUUGAAAAGAUGAGUCAAAAUGAAAUUUUUCUUUAGUUUCGCACUUCUUUUUCCUUUUUCUCUUUCUCUUUGUCGUAAAGAAAGUUAGAAGCGUAAAGGAAUGCAUUGGAUAAUCUGUGAGAUCUCGUUGACUGAUAACUGAAUAUUCCACUGCAGCUGAAACACCCCCCCCUCCCACCCCACCACACAAAAAAAACCAAAAAAUAAAAAAACCAUAAAAAAAGAAGGAAAAGAAAUUAAAAAUUCAGUCUUGUUGGAAUCAAUUCUGAAGAUUUGGACCUAAAUUUUCAUAUUGAAAGAUCUGUAGGUGGUGUUCUUCUUUUUGUGCUACUAUUUUUGUGCUCAAUUUAAAAUUUUCUGAUAAAUAGGAAUUAUAGAUUUUAGUGCUUUACUGAUUGUAUUGUAUCAAAUUUUCAGCUAAGUGACUUGUGGGAAGUAAGGAGGUGAUUUUCGAGUGGUUUAUCAACACUGGAUUUGUCUAAUGUGAGGCUAAAAUCAAGCAGGGUUGAAGUACAAUAAUAACAAAGAGAGUGUAAAAUGUCUACGUGGGAACAUUUUGGGGAAAUUGCAAAUGUUGCUCAGCUCACCGGUGUUGAUGCGGUGAGGCUGAUUGGGAUGAUAGUGCAGGCUGCUAAUACAGCUCGGCUGCACAAGAAAAAUUGCAGGCAGUUUGCAAUGCAUCUGAA
This 1416-nucleotide long non-coding RNA is filed under the name Coffea arabica (coffee). Its description in RNAcentral is "long non-coding RNA (CARA_LNC004910)". Lineage: Eukaryota; Viridiplantae; Streptophyta; Magnoliopsida; Gentianales; Rubiaceae. The record is from RNAcentral.